UGGGGAAUAUUGGACAAUGGGCGAAAGCCUGAUCCAGCCAUGCCGCGUGAGUGACGAAGGCCUUAGGGUUGUAAAACUCUUUCGUCGGGGACGAUAAUGACGGUACCCGAAGAAGAAGCUCCGGCUAACUUCGUGCCAGCAGCCGCGGUAAUACGAAGGGAGCUAGCGUUGUUCGGAAUCACUGGGCGUAAAGCGCACGUAGGCGGAUAGUUAAGUCAGGGGUGAAAUCCUGGGGCUCAACCCCAGAACUGCCUUUGAUACUGGCUGUCUCGAGGUCGAGAGAGGUUGGUGGAAUUCCUAGUGUAGAGGUGAAAUUCGUAGAUAUUAGGAAGAACACCAGUGGCGAAGGCGGCCAACUGGCUCAAUACUGACACUGAGGUGCGAAAGCGUGGGGAGCAAACAGGAUUAGAUACCCCGGUAGUCCCUGAGCGGGCUGGCAAGGCGCAU
RNAcentral lists this ribosomal RNA (447 nucleotides) under uncultured bacterium. Its description in RNAcentral is "bacterial SSU rRNA". It matches the Rfam family "Bacterial small subunit ribosomal RNA", at positions 355 to 825 of the family's 1533-position model. The record is from RNAcentral.